UACGUAGGGGGCAAGCGUUGUCCGGAUUUAUUGGGCGUAAAGCGCUCGCAGGCGGUCCGAUGCGUCGGGCGUGAAAGACCCCGGCUCAACUGGGGAGGGUCGUGCGAUACGGUCGGACUCGAGGCCAGUAGGGGGACGCGGAAUUCCGGGUGUAGUGGUGGAAUGCGUAGAGAUCCGGAGGAACACCAGCGGCGAAGGCGGCGUCCUGGACUGGUACUGACGCUCAGGAGCGAAAGCGUGGGGAGCGAACAGG
This 253-nucleotide ribosomal RNA is filed under the name uncultured bacterium. RNAcentral describes it as "partial 16S ribosomal RNA". It matches the Rfam family "Bacterial small subunit ribosomal RNA", at positions 524 to 776 of the family's 1533-position model. The record is from RNAcentral.